This 301-nucleotide ribosomal RNA is filed under the name uncultured bacterium. Its description in RNAcentral is "partial 16S ribosomal RNA". It matches the Rfam family "Bacterial small subunit ribosomal RNA", at positions 509 to 807 of the family's 1533-position model. The record is from RNAcentral.
CAGCAGCCGCGGUAAUACGGAGGGAGCUAGCGUUGUUCGGAAUUAUUGGGCGUAAAGGGCGCGUAGGCGGUUUGGCAAGUUUGGUGUGAAAUCUUCGGGCUCAACUCGAAGUCUGCACCGAAAACUGCCGGGCUUGAGUAUGGGAGAGGUGAGUGGAAUUUCCGGUGUAGCGGUGAAAUGCGUAGAUAUCGGAAGGAACACCUGUGGCGAAAGCGGCUCACUGGACCAUUACUGACGCUGAGGCUCGAAAGCGUGGGGAGCAAAUAGGAUUAGAUACCCCCGUAGUCCCUGUCUCUUAUAC